This 1734-nucleotide long non-coding RNA is filed under the name Felis catus (domestic cat). RNAcentral's name for it is "lncRNA (ENSFCAG00000042582.1)". The record is from RNAcentral. Lineage: Eukaryota; Metazoa; Chordata; Mammalia; Carnivora; Felidae.
GAUGCGGACCGUGCAUUUACCUCGGAGGAUGGCUUACUCGGUUCUGCCUGUGCUCCUACCAAAGUGCAAGGUGACUACGGGGAUGUGCUCCCUCCAUCAGUGGCCUGUGACUCUGCUGUCGGCCCGCGACCUUCUGUCCUGCGCAGCAGAGCCCGCUGCAGAGUCCCCCAAGAAAUGAGGUAUUAACACUUAUCGUGUGGAGCUGAAUUCUUCAAGGAAUAGUAAUCCUUAAACAGACGGAGGAGAAGUCGUCUUCAAAGCAUUAAAAUCCAGCGGUGUGCUCCCGGCCCAUCCUUCUUCACCAGCCACGCGCCGUCUGGACGGAUUUGGGUCGGAAGAAUCCUGACGAAAUGUCUCCUCGAAAGAUGCCGUCUCCUGUGGGGCACUGGUCUAGCCCAGAGCUUCUGUCAAAGGCCGUCCAAACAAGAAUCGGAGGCCGCUCCUUUCUGUCUCUAAGCCUCCCCCAUUGUCUUGCUGCUUCCAGAAUAACAGAUGCCGUCACUGGUGCCAGAGCGGCCGCACCACUUGGCAUUCCCACAAUGCAACAAUUUCUAAUAGCUUCUAGAGCUCCGGAGACAAUGACCCUUGGUGGUUACGUGUGGUGCCGAGAAAGGACAGAAAAAGGACAGAGACACAUGCCGAGAGAGAUGGAGAGACACGGAGAGAGAGAGAACUGCACAGAGGUCAGAAGACACAGAGGAAGAGACCCAGGGCAGAGAGGAGAGCGCGUUCCAGAGAGAACCAGGGAGAGACGGAGGGGCGGGCUGCCGAUCGCGGGAGCUACAGGGCUGCAGGGUGGCGAGACCGAUCCCCACAGAGGCUGCUGCUUCUUCCUCUGGAGCCGGGCGCCAGUGGCACAGCUGUGGGCACCGGCCCAGCCCCCAGACUCCCGGGAAGCCAGGAGCCGCAGCCCGGUGGCCAGCUCGGGAGUCCCGCGGCCGUCUGUCUGCUCUGUCUCCCAAGCUGUCCGUCUCCCGCGAAGAGCGGCGGCUGCCCUCCUUGCCCUCCUCGUGGGCAGGGGACCCAGCCUGGGCUCCUGCUCGGAGGGGUGUGGGGGAGGUAUGGGAGGUGCUCACCUGCGGAAGGCUCCAGGCCCGAGCACUGCACUCUCAGAACAGACACCCUCCCCGGGAAGUGAGAGGGAACAGAUGUGCUUUUAUGGUCUCCAUGGAGAUCCGUCAACCUGGCAACCUCGAUGGGCGCUGGGCCUGGGCUUCGAAGCUUUUGUCUUCCCAGAGGCUCUCUCGGAGCGCGAACACUGAGAGCAGAUCUCGGCCAGGCGUCCACAGGGGCCGGGGCUUUCCUCCCGGCUGCCAGGUCACCCCAAAGCAGGGGCAGAUGUGGGGGGGGGGCCCUUGGUGAGCUCUGUCUGGUUAAAGAAGGUUCGGCUCUACCUUUUGUCUUUCCACUCGCCGGGAGGAAACGCGCGGCUCCAGCCCCGGUUACCAUAUGAAGGCCCCCCAGUUCUGGCCUGGAAGAAAGUGAUGAAAGAACAAGGCUGGCACGUCACAAAUGUGUCACAAAAAGCACGUCGGAGAGGCCGAGGCAGGUAACCGGGGGAGCGCGUGGCCAUUCAUUCAACCGGUCAGCAAACAGCAGAGCCCCUUGCUGGCUACCAGCCGUGAACGCCCCCAGAUCCAGCUCUUCCUCAUGUUGCUGACACGCGUGGGAGAGAUGGACGCUUGACACCCUGGCAAAUGACUCGAGCCAAGGAAACAAGACGAAAUCUUGGAC